GGAGGGUGCAAAUUGGCCUUCGGGGAGAGCCGCACCGCGCAUUUCCCUGCAGCUCGGCUCGGGCGGGAGCGGGGGGAGACCUCCAGCUGAGGAAAACAACCAGGAAGCACAUCAAACUGUUACUUCCAUCCAUCCACAACAGUUUUCUAUGAAGUUUACAUUUCCAUCUUCAUCAACACAUUUUCCAAAGAUGUGCACUUCAUACGAGGAUCCUAUAGAUGCCUUCAGAAAGCAGCAUUAACUGCAUAUCAGGGUCUAUUAGACAGAAUAUCCACAGGAUAUCCUAUAUCUACAGAAGUGUCACUGCAGUGCACACCAAGACUGUACAAC
Molecule: long non-coding RNA, 330 nt
Filed under: Chloebia gouldiae (Gouldian finch)
Lineage: Eukaryota; Metazoa; Chordata; Aves; Passeriformes; Passeridae
Description: Erythrura gouldiae (Gouldian finch) lncRNA (ENSEGOG00005004867.1)
Source: RNAcentral